GCCAACGUAGCUCAGCAGGCAGAGCAACUCCAUGGUAAGGAGUAGGUCCGCGGUUCGAUUCCGCGCGUUGGCU
Parcubacteria group bacterium CG1_02_44_65 is the source of this 73-nucleotide non-coding RNA. The record is from Rfam.